Molecule: ribosomal RNA, 254 nt
Filed under: uncultured bacterium
Lineage: Bacteria
Description: partial 16S ribosomal RNA
Rfam family: Bacterial small subunit ribosomal RNA
Source: RNAcentral
GACAGAGGGUGCAAACGUUGCUCGGAAUCACUGGGCGUAAAGGGUGCGUAGGCGGGUCUUUUAAGUCAGGGGUGAAAUCCUGGAGCUCAACUCCAGAACUGCCUUUGAUACUGAAGAUCUUGAGUUCGGGAGAGGUGAGUGGAACUGCGAGUGUAGAGGUGAAAUUCGUAGAUAUUCGCAAGAACACCAGUGGCGAAGGCGGCUCACUGGCCCGAUACUGACGCUGAGGCACGAAAGCGUGGGGAGCAAACAGG